AUGGAGAUCUUAGCUGUGCUUAAAGCCUGGGCGGAGGUCUAUAUAAUUACUGUGCAAAGACAUAAAAACCACAGACAAGCUUUGAAGACUACCACCUGUUUAGAAGACAGUAUCAGAUAUGGAUCAUGUUCAUCAGAUGGACUAUUUGACUUAGUCUGCUCAGAUCUUGGCACACUAAGCAGACUCUGGCUUGCUGCACUUCAGGAUUUUGCUCUUUUAACUUUGCCUUCAGAAUUUGCCUCCCAACUUCCUGCUGAAGGCGGUGCUUUCUACACAGCAGAGACUAGUGAAAAUGCAAAAUUGCAUUAUUACAACUCUUGGGCGCUUAUCCUCCAUGCUACGGCAUUGUGGCUUACAAGCACGGGCUUUGUUGUUGCUGACCCAGACGAAGGAGCAUCUAAUCUCUCCAGGCCUGUAACACCAACUUCCAUGUGUCAGGGUUCAUCAUCUGGGGCUACCAUAAAGUCCCCUGAGGAUGUCUACACUGAUAGAUUCCAUCUUAUUUUAGGAAUCAGCGUGGAAUUUCUAUGUUCCUUACGUUCAGACGCAACCAUGGAAAGCAUAACUGCUUGUUUACAUGCAUUGCAAGCACUUCUAGAUGUACCUUGGCCCAGAUCAAAAAUUGGCAGUAAUCAGGACUUGGGUAUAGAAUUGCUGAAUGUUCUACAUCGAGUAAUUUUGACCAGAGAAUCACCUUCUGUUCAAUUGGCUUCACUUGAAGUGGUAAUGCAGAUUAUCUGUGCUGCUCAAGAACAUGUGAAGGAAAAAAGACGAAGUGCAGAAGUUGAUGAUGGAGCUGCUGAAAAGGAAACUCUGCCAGAGUUUGGAGAGGGAAAGGACACUGGAGGACUUGUGCCUGGGAAGUCUUUGGUGUUUGCAACACUGGAAUUGUGUGUAUGCAUUCUAGUUAGACAGCUCCCAGAACUAAAUCCUAAAUUGACAGGUAGUCCAGGAGUAAAAGCUACAAAGCCACAGAUGCUAUCAGAGGAUGGAAGUAGAUUGGUUUCAGCUGCGUUGGUUAUCCUUUCUGAACUUCCUGCAGUGUGCUCUCCUGAAGGAAGCAUCUCAAUUCUCCCUACUAUAUUGUACCUCACAAUUGGGGUCCUCAGAGAGACUGCUGUGAAGUUACCUGGGGGCCAGUUAUCUUCAACAGUUGCAGCUUCCCUACAGGCUCUAAAAGGAAUAUUAUCUUCUCCAAUGGCCCAGGCAGAAAAGAGCCAUACUGCUUGGACUGACCUUCUUCGAAGUGCUUUAACAACAAUUCUUGACUGUUGGGAUCCAGGUGAUGAAACACACCAAGAACUUGAUGAAGUCAGUCUACUUACUGCUAUCACAGUGUUUAUUUUGUCUACCAGUCCAGAAGUAACUACCAUCCCAUGCCUUCAGAAGCGCUGUAUUGAUAAAUUUAAAGCUACUCUUGAGAUAAAAGAUCCUAUGACGGAGUUUUUUGCUCUUGUUACCCAGGCUGAAGUGCAAUGGCGCGAUCUCGGCUCACCGCAACCUCUGCCUCCUGGGUUCAGGCAAUUCUCCUGCCUCAGUCUCCUGAGUAGCUGGGAUUACAGGCACUCGCCACCAUGCCCAACUAAUUUUUUGUAUUUUUAGUAGAGACGGGGUUUCAUCAUGUUGACCAGGAUGGUCUCUAUCUCUUGACCUUGUGAUCCACCCGCCUCGGCCUCCCAAACUGCUGGGAUUACAGGCGUGAGCCACUGUGCCCGGCCAAAUUUUUGUUUUUAGAUUUGGAUUAAGUUCUGUUCCUAGAGUGACAAAGCCGAAUAACAGUAGUCUUGUUCUUCAGCCCUAAGGGUAGAGGAUAGUGGCAGAAGAGGAAAUGUUAAAAAACUAAAUUUGAAAUGGAGGAAUCUUAAGAUUGAUGUAGCACAAGAACUUUAUAAGCAAGAUACUUGGUAGUGUAUUAUAGUAGAUUUUCUUUAAAAAAAAAAAAAAAAAAAAACGAGAGAGAGAAAGGGAGGCCGAGCACUGUGGCUCAUGCCUGUAAUUCCAUCCAGCACUUUGGUAGGACAUGGUAGGUGGAUUCCUUGAGGCCAGAAGUCCGAGAGCAGCCUGGGCAGUAUGGUGAGAACCCAUCUCUACAAAAAAGUAAAAAAUUAGUGAGGCGUGGUGGCACAGGCCUGUAGUCCCAGCUGCUCGGGGGCACUGAGGCAGUAGGAUCACUUGAGCCUGGGACCUUGAGGCUGCA
Molecule: long non-coding RNA, 2197 nt
Organism: Aotus nancymaae (Ma's night monkey)
Lineage: Eukaryota; Metazoa; Chordata; Mammalia; Primates; Aotidae
Source: Ensembl